RNAcentral lists this transfer RNA (33 nucleotides) under Porella japonica. Its description in RNAcentral is "partial tRNA-Phe". The record is from RNAcentral. Lineage: Eukaryota; Viridiplantae; Streptophyta; Jungermanniopsida; Porellales; Porellaceae.
GCCGGGAUAGCUCAGUUGGUAGAGCAGGGGAUU